CAAGCUCUUGUUUUUGAAAGCUUGCGUAUUAGUAAUGAUGCCAUGGAUUUGACAAUUCCAAGGUGGAAGUCGAUGAGUUGUUUAUUGCUAGAUCAUGACACUUGUUUUGCAUAGGAAAGAUUGUCUGUUAGGUUUUUUUUGCAAGAUUUUGCAAAUCAAUCCUUGAAAUCUUCUAUAUUUGCAUAGUAAUCCUUGUAUUUUUCAUUUUCAUAAAAAUUCUUUUAAAGUCUUUUGUUACCAAAAGAAUCAGUCCUUCUACUAGUUUUCAUUGAUUGAAACCUCAUUAAGGUUAACCAAGUUCAUAGGGGAACAGAAAUGCCUUUGUUUUAAUAGUGAAUGAGGCUAGGACCUAGCUUCUUCUCACUCACUUUGCCCUUUUUUUGAUUCAUAGGUCCAGAGGUUGGUUAGGUUUGAGUUAGGGACAAAAAUAUUGAGAAUGUAUGAAUUAAUUUUAAAGAACAAAAGUAAAAUAUUCUGUUCACAUCCAGAUAACCUGAGGGAUAUAUAAGCAAUAAGUUACCAAUUUCAAGGAUGAAAAUACAAGAGUAAAUUACAAAAAUCUUCUUGAUGUUUCAUUUUAUCACACUUACGCCUAGUAGUUUGGGAACCUACACUUACAUCCAGGCAAACUAAUAGCAUCAAAUUGUUUACAUAAUGUGAAAAGACAAAAAUACCCACCUCUCUAUUCAUUAACUCAACCCUUCUUCCCCCAAGGAUUAGGGAUUCACCUUAGAAAAUUAUCCCACCUCCUACAUCGAGAAAGACAUUCUCUUGCUUAAACCACCUCCUCACCCUUUUGGGAUCGUAGAAGUUA
RNAcentral lists this long non-coding RNA (814 nucleotides) under Elaeis guineensis (African oil palm). Its description in RNAcentral is "long non-coding RNA (EGUI_LNC075363)". The record is from RNAcentral. Lineage: Eukaryota; Viridiplantae; Streptophyta; Magnoliopsida; Arecales; Arecaceae.